GACGAACGCUGGCGGCGUGCUUAACACAUGCAAGUCGAACGGGAUUUAGUAGACAGAAGCCUCGGCUAAAGAUUACUACUGAGAGUGGCGAACGGGUGAGUAACGCGUGAGCAACCUGCCUAUGACAGUGGGAUAGCCUCGGGAAACCGGUAUUAAUACCGCAUAAAAUCGUAGAAACACAUGUUUCAACGGUCAAAGAUUUAUCGGUCAUAGAUGGGCUCGCGUCUGAUUAGCUAGUUGGUGAGAUAACAGCCCACCAAGGCGACGAUCAGUAGCCGGUCUGAGAGGAUGAACGGCAACAUUGGAACUGAGACACGGUCCAAACUCCUACGGGAGGCAGCAGUGGGGAAUAUUGCACAAUGGGGGAAACCCUGAUGCAGCGACGCCGCGUGAACGAAGAAGGUAUUCGUAUCGUAAAGUUCUGUCCUAUGGGAAGAUAAUGACAGUACCAUAGAAGAAAGCUCCGGCUAAAUACGUG
RNAcentral lists this ribosomal RNA (478 nucleotides) under uncultured bacterium. RNAcentral's name for it is "partial 16S ribosomal RNA". It matches the Rfam family "Bacterial small subunit ribosomal RNA", at positions 28 to 507 of the family's 1533-position model. The record is from RNAcentral.